UACGAAGGGGGCUAGCGUUGCUCGGAAUCACUGGGCGUAAAGGGUGCGUAGGCGGGUCUUUAAGUCAGGGGUGAAAUCCUGGAGCUCAACUCCAGAACUGCCUUUGAUACUGAGGAUCUUGAGUUCGGGAGAGGUGAGUGGAACUGCGAGUGUAGAGGUGAAAUUCGUAGAUAUUCGCAGGAACAUCCGAGGCGAAAGCGGCUUGCUGGAUCGCAACUGACGCUGAGGGACGAAAGCUAGGGGAGCAAACAGG
This 253-nucleotide ribosomal RNA is filed under the name uncultured bacterium. RNAcentral describes it as "partial 16S ribosomal RNA". It matches the Rfam family "Bacterial small subunit ribosomal RNA", at positions 524 to 776 of the family's 1533-position model. The record is from RNAcentral.